GAUGAAGAACGUAGUGAAAUGCGAUAAGUAAUGUGAAUUGCAGAAUUCAGCGAAUCAUCGAAUCUUUGAACGCACAUUGCGCCCUCUGGUAUUCCGGGGGGCAUGCCUGUUCGAGCGUCAUUAUAACCACUCAAGCUCUCGCUUGGUAUUGGGGUUCGCGGUUCCGCGGCCCCUAAAAUCAGUGGCGGUGCCUGUCGGCUCUACGCGUAGUAAUACUCCUCGCGAUUGAGUCCGGUAGGUCUACUUGCCAGCAACCCCCAAUUUUUACAGGUUGACCUCGGAUCAGGUAGGGAUACCCGCUGAACUUAAGCAUAUCAAUAAGCGGAGGA
RNAcentral lists this unclassified non-coding RNA (329 nucleotides) under soil metagenome. RNAcentral describes it as "partial contains 5.8S ribosomal RNA, internal transcribed spacer 2, and large subunit ribosomal RNA". The stretch from base 1 to 120 matches the Rfam family "5.8S ribosomal RNA", at positions 35 to 154 of the family's 154-position model. The record is from RNAcentral.